GGUUGCUCCCUUUGUUAAGUGAUGGGAGAGAGAUAAGAGAGAUACCCAUCGGAGUGCUAGGUGCACGGAUAGGGUCUCUGUUAAAGAGGUGGCCACCCUCUCGCCAGCCCCAGGGGCCGAUGUGCCGCAGCAGGACUGCACGUCCCCCUUCCUCCCCAGCCACGUGGAUGCCGUUCCCUGGCGGUGGCACGGUGCCAUCAGCCACAGCGUGCUCGCCGGAGUGCAGAGGCUCUGCAAGGUCUGGGUGCGAGAUUAGGGCAGAUCCUUACUCGUUCGUCUCCCAGCCAGCUCAGGCAGACACCCGAGGCCGUGGGACCGGAAUGCUCUGACCUGAAUACAGCCAGGCACUGUCCCUCCAAGCCCGGUCCUCGCCUGCCUCCACCACUUUGCUUUGCUCCGUUUCAGCUGUGCAUCCUUAAAUGAUUCAGGGGCUCCGGGCCAAAGGGCUCUUUGCCCCGCUGGGCUGAUCCUGAAGAGAACGGGUGAUGUGCCAGGAGGUCUGGGAGGCGAAUGUCAUUUCAUCACUGUUCUCCCGGGAGAGAUUUUUUCUUUCUCUUUGAAUAAACUCCUUUUGAGGUGUGUGCAGUGGCAAUAUCCUGGCGCAGAUUUAAUCACAGUACUACUGGCAGCAUUGACACAGACUAAGUGUCAGCAUGGUAAGUUCAAAGAACCCCAAGUCUGUGUGAACAGACAUUUGCUGGUUUACAUCCAGGCUAGAAAGGACAGUGCCUGUUACUUCUUCCUGCCAUGAGAAAUAUUGUGAAGGUCUACAAGCAGCCUCUGCAGAGUCAGAGCUGGCACCAUGCUUGAUGCUGGUGUUGGAAAGCUGAACUCCCCAAAAGUGAACUUCCUCUCCUACUAUAAACUGACCCUUGGGGUUGCUAUAGCGACUGCAGAGCGGCCAGCGGGCUGUGUAAACACUCCCUCCCGCUUCCCAUCACACCGGGCCUGAAAGGCUGAGCCACGGGAUGUGCACAGCAACCUGGAUUAUGCAGGCGGUUGUGAAAUGCAAACCCGACAAUUUCUCUGCUUCCUCCCUGCUUCCCCUGCGGGGAGGCAAACCCAGCAGGCUGGUAGCAGGCAGAAACACGCCCGUCCUGACGAAUUUGGGCACUUGGUGUGGUACCGCAGAAACCAAAUCCAGACACUUACCUGGGGAGCUUGAGCAAGAUGUGGAAAUAUAUGGUGCAACUGGAUCCUCUGCAACAUCUGAUUCCCUCGGCCUCACUAACUGUGGAGUUUCCAGCUGUGUGGGGGGAGCAGUUUGGUACACACUGUCACAGCUCCUUCUAUGUAAUUAAUUGCAACAAUCGACCGAGUGUGAAAUCCAUCAAUUUCUGUGUCCUCUGCUGCUCACUUUGAUGUCAGCUCUUUAAUUUUCUUCCUUCUUUUCUCUUUUUUUUUUUUUAAUGCAUUUCAUUAAGUCCCUGACUCUCUGAGUCACUCUCCAAACGUUUAUGUUCUUGUCUGUAUCCAUCCCUGUAACACCAGGUUGGGUAUGUCAGCAGCUGUAGCCUGAGCAGCACACUGAAGCAUGUGGGAAGGUGUUUCCCAAGCACAGCAGGAUAUGCAUCCCCUCCAGCCACUGCAGAUGUUCUUCCAAAAUGGCAGGUACUGCCUAGCCAGGGAUUUUGUGAGAGGCAAGCUUAACUACCCUACCAGGAGGAGAUAACCAGCUCUGCUCCCAUGGCAUUGUGAUGCAUCUUGCUGGGUUGUCUCCAAGAAAUAAGGUUGCUGUCCCACAACAACAGACCUGUGCUUGAAAAAAGCACGAAGCACAUCAUCUCAAAUGUGUGUAAAAUGAAGCGCCUGCUCCAAUGCUGUCUGAAGGGGUCAUUCAGAAGUGCCAGGCAUCCUGCAAAACACCCAUCUCUGCCAACUGCCAACACACUCUUUUGUUUCACUGUUAAGAGACUUCCUGGCACAAGGAUGGAUGCACUUUUGUGAUCUCAUCUUUUUAUGUGUGCUGGGUGUCACUGACCAGGCUGAUCGACAUGUACCUUUGAUCAGACACCCUGCUAUACAAUCACAAGCUGUCUGGGAAUUCCCUGGAUUUCCAUCCUUUCUGCCACAUCAGAGACCAUACGCAGCCUCUGUUAAGCAAGGUACUGGCAAAGGCGGAAGAGACGGAGAUUUCUGGAACAGUGCUUGUCUGUAAUCCUAAAAUGUCCCUCUAAUCCCAGCUUGUGACUCAGAGCUGGGGGGAUGCAGAGGGUCAGUGUGGUCUGCUCACCCACUGCAGUGAGUCAUUACACCCCAAAGAGAAAAGGAGCCUUAAAGCCUCCCUCUGAUUGUUGUGAAUGAGGGCAACGGGACAUGUUGCACAAAGUAUGCUAAAUCAAGGGCAUUUGAUAUGCAUUUUGUUACAGUACUCAGUCCCUAUAGUGUCUCACUUAACAGAUGGCAGGAGCUGAAUCUGAUUAAACAGGGUUUUCUGAAUCACUCGCAGAGACAACUGAGAGGCAGGCAGAGGCAUACAGCAACGCACAGCUCUGAGAGCCUCCUAGAUCUCAGUGGGUUUGCACUUCUCCAUUCACUCUGUGCCUGCUUUAUUACAGCAUUUAAA
Molecule: long non-coding RNA, 2566 nt
Organism: Ficedula albicollis (Collared flycatcher)
Lineage: Eukaryota; Metazoa; Chordata; Aves; Passeriformes; Muscicapidae
Exons: 4
Source: RefSeq, a predicted model, not a curated record